GAGGGAAACCGAGUCUUAAUUGGGCGUUAAGUUGCAGGGUAUAGACCCGAAACCCGGUGAUCUAGCCAUGGGCAGGUUGAAGGUUGGGUAACACUAACUGGAGGACCGAACCGACUAAUGUUGAAAAAUUAGCGGAUGACCUGUGGCUGGGGGUGAAAGGCCAAUCAAACCGGGAGAUAGCUGGUUCUCCCCGAAAGCUAUUUAGGUAGCGCCUCGUGAAUUCAUCUCCGGGGGUAGAGCACUGUUUCGGCUAGGGGGCCAUCCCGGCUUACCAACCCGAUGCAAACUGCGAAUACCGGAGAAUGUUAUCACGGGAGACACACGGCGGGUGCUAACGUCCGUCGUGAAGAGGGAAACAACCCAGACCGCCAGCUAAGGUCCCAAAGUCAUGGUUAAGUGGGAAACGAUGUGGGAAGGCCCAGACAGCCAGGAUGUUGGCUUAGAAGCAGCCAUCAUUUAAAGAAAGCGUAAUAGCUCACUGGUCGAGUCGGCCUGCGCGGAAGAUGUAACGGGGCUAAACCAUGCACCGAAGCUGCGGCAGCGAACGUAUCACCCAAGACAACUUUACGGAGUUGACGAUUGACGGAGCGAAGCGACGUCAAAGCGUUCAUUAAAGUCGAGUUGGCUUAGGGAUACGUUCGUUGGGUAGGGGAGCGUUCUGUAAGCCUGUGAAGGUGUGUCGUGAGGCAUGCUGGAGGUAUCAGAAGUGCGAAUGCUGACAUAAGUAACGAUAAAGCGGGUGAAAAGCCCGCUCGCCGGAAGACCAAGGGUUCCUGUCCAACGUUAAUCGGGGCAGGGUGAGUCGACCCCUAAGGCGAGGCCGAAAGGCGUAGUCGAUGGGAAACGGGUUAAUAUUCCCGUACUUGGUGUUACUGCGAAGGGGGGACGGAGAAGGCUAUGUUGGCCGGGCGACGGUUGUCCCGGUUUAAGCGUGUAGGUGUGUGUUCCAGGUAAAUCCGGUUCACUUUAACACUGAGGCGUGACGACGAGGCACUACGGUGCUGAAGCAACAAAUGCCCUGCUUCCAGGAAAA
RNAcentral lists this ribosomal RNA (1033 nucleotides) under Salmonella enterica. RNAcentral's name for it is "partial 23S ribosomal RNA". It matches the Rfam family "Bacterial large subunit ribosomal RNA", at positions 668 to 1616 of the family's 2925-position model. RNAcentral also lists the same sequence under 1 other name. Lineage: Bacteria; Pseudomonadati; Pseudomonadota; Gammaproteobacteria; Enterobacterales; Enterobacteriaceae. The record is from RNAcentral.